Molecule: long non-coding RNA, 580 nt
Filed under: Fukomys damarensis (Damara mole-rat)
Lineage: Eukaryota; Metazoa; Chordata; Mammalia; Rodentia; Bathyergidae
Description: lncRNA (ENSFDAG00000030555.1)
Source: RNAcentral
CUCUCUGAGUCAGGUCAGCACAGAGUGGAUGUGUGAGUCCAGAGAGACUGUGCUAUUCUGUGGGCAUUCUGGGCGGCUUAGCACUUCAAUUCUCCAACACGGUGUCCAUCUUUCUAAUCUGAGAAAUUAGUGUCUCCCUUGUCAGUUCCUUCCUUUGCCUGAAUAAAAACAUAACAAAUGGUCACUACAUUAACUGGCCCAAGCUGUCACGGGGAAGGGCUCUGGCCUGCAGUCUUGUCAUUGCCUGUUGUACACGCGGUGUGAGCACACCUCAUGAGGCCAUCGGUACUUUUCAGGUGGGUGUGAUGGAAGAGAAGGUAAAACUGUCCAAUCUUAGGGAUGUGGACUCCACAGGCAGCCUGCCCCAGAAGUACCAAGAAUUGCUGAAAGCCAUGCAGGGCAAAGUAGAGCUCAUCGACCAGCUGGAGGCACAGCUGGAGAAGCAGAAGCAGAUGAGAGCCGAGGAAGCAAAAAUGGUUCAGAAGAAAGCUGCAAAGAUCAAGGAGUGGGUGGCACUAAAGUUAACGGAGGUCAGUCGGAAGCUCCGCUCAGGGGCCUGGCCGGAGGUGUAGCUGGGCUU